UCGACGAACCGUGAAUUUCUGUGUAUGGUGUAUUAUUCCUUUUUCUCCUUCCCUCUCUCUCUCUCUCUCUCUCUCUCUCUCGCUCUCUCUCUCGCUCUCUCUCUCGCUCUCUCUCUCUCUCUCUCUCGUUCUCCUUUGUGUGAUUUUGUUUUUAUAAAACUAAUUUGAGAAUUAAGAAAAACAUAGAAAAUAGAAGGAGAGAAAGAGACAAAUGUGAAAAAAAAGAAAGUGAUCGGUGUAUUUAGUUUUUCGUCGUACGCCGCUUAGCUCAAAUAUUUUUCGUGAGGGCUAGCGAGGCAUGACGGGAACAGGUGACAAUAGAGGAACUUCGCCAUGUUAGAUUUCGCGAGAUCGCGAAACGUGCGCCGCCUGCUGCUGCUGCUGCCACUAGUGGAGGAGAAGGAGAAGUGGCAUCAUACGGAAAGAGAGAGAUAGAGGGAGAAAAAAAACCACGACAUAUAUAUAUAUACACACACACAAUAUUAAAGCAGCAGAGAGAGAAAAAGAGAGAGAGAGAGAGAGAAAGAGAGAGAGAGAGGGAGAUAGUGAAUUUAUUUUGUUUUUCUCCGCUCUCCUUCGCGCUACUUUCACCCUCUCGACACUGUGAUCCGCCUGAAAAUCAUCCAAGCUGGAUAGGUUACCCGAGUAUCUCCGCGAUACCGUGGAUUGGUUUAUGGGGAAUUAUUAUCUUCGUUUAUGUAGGAGAAAGUUUGCUAAAGGAUAAUGAUGAUGAUGAUGAUGAUAAUAAUGAUGAUGAUGAUGAUGAUGACGAUGGUGAUGAUGGUGAUGAUGAUCGAUAAAUGCAUUUGAAGGUUAUCCUUGACGAAUGGCUUUCCUAACCUCUGUGUUUCUCUUCCAUUUUUUUCAUUGUUGUAUUUUUGUAUUUUCUUUUUGGAGAAUUCCUCAAGGGAAUUAAUUGAGGAGAUCAAGCAACGAGUUUUUGUCGAAAUAAUUUGAAUAUCCAAAAUCGAAUUUAACGUUUUCAUAAAUAAUAUGAUCUCUGGAAUAAUCUAUGAGAGAGUUCAGUAUUGUGAUAGCGCUCGGUGGAUGAACUCGAUAUAUCUUGGAUUUUUUUCUGAGGUUAAAAGAGAAACAAAAAAAAAUGUAAAUCAUAUUUUCAACCGGAAAAAUCAGCUAUCUUUCUUUUAUUAUUAUUAUCAAGGCAUAUAAUGAAUUGUUUUUUUUUUCGUUCAUCUCUUUUUUCGAUUAAAUUUGAAUGGAAACUACUUCGGUGAUCAACGUAUAUAUAUCACAAAGUAUUUAUUAUCAAAUAUUUAUACGUUUUUUUUCUUCUUUAUCGGUGUUCUUGGAUUUUGAGUUUCUUCGAUAUAAAAAGAACUGUAUGUAAAUAGAAAAGAAAACUUUGCGUUGUGAUAAAGAGGAUAUAUUUUAUAUAGCAGACUAGCAACGAUGACGACGCAAAGUUAACGUGCAAAGGACAAAAUGUUGAAUAUGUGCGCGAGCCUUCCUUUUCCUUGUCUCUCCCUUCCUCUUCUCGCUCUUGCCGAGUUAUCGAUGUAUGUACGGACGGAAAAGCUAUUUUGCUGUGUGUGUAUGUGUGUGUGUGUGAGUAUGUUACCUGUUAACGAACUUACGUAAACCUUUCGAUCGCUUUUUCGUCAAUAAAUCUCACAUUUUAUCAGGAUGGAAGAUAAGAAGAAAAAAUAAAUUCAAGAAAUUUUUUAAUUC
Vespa mandarinia (Asian giant hornet) is the source of this 1689-nucleotide long non-coding RNA. The record is from RefSeq and is a predicted model, not a curated record. NCBI's taxonomy places the organism in Eukaryota, Metazoa, Arthropoda, Insecta, Hymenoptera, Vespidae.